CAUGCAGUCGACGCUGAAGCUCCAGCUUGCUGGGGUGGAUGAGUGGCGAACGGGUGAGUAACACGUGAGUAACCUUCCCUUGACUCUGGGAUAAGCCCGGGAAACUGGGUCUAAUACCGGAUAUGACCUCCUGUCGCAUGGUGGGGGGUGGAAAGAUUUAUCGGUCUUGGAUGGACUCGCGGCCUAUCAGCUUGUUGGUGAGGUAAUGGCUCACCAAGGCGACGACGGGUAGCCGGCCUGAGAGGGUGACCGGCCACACUGGGACUGAGACACGGCCCAAACUCCUACGGGAGGCAGCAGUGGGGAAUAUUGCACAAUGGGCGCAAGCCUGAUGCAGCGACGCCGCGUGAGGGAUGACGGCCUUCGGGUUGUAAACCUCUUUCAGUAGGGAAGAAGCCUUCGGGUGACGGUACCUGCAGAAGAAGCGCCGGCUAACUACGUGCCAGCAGCCGCGGUAAUACGUAAGGCGCGAGCGUUAUCCGGAAUUAUUGGGCGUAAAGAGCUCGUAAGCGGUUUGUCGCGUCUGCCGUGAAAGUCCGGGGCUUAACCCCGUGAUCUGCGGUGGGUACGGGCAAACUACAAUGCAGUAGGCGAGACCGGAUUUCCUGGUGUAGCGGAUGAAUGGCGCAGAUAUCCACGACGAACACCCAUGGGUAAAGCGGGUCUCUGAGCCUGGUACUGACUCUCUAGGUAGCGACCCCAUGGUUAGCGUACUACGAUUCAUACCCUGCCAGACAAUGCCGUAACGCUGGGGCGCUACGUGUGGGAGACAUUCCAUUUUCUCCGUCGCCGCAGGUAAUCGCAGUACUCGUCUCGGCUGCUGAAGUACGCCCGCCACGGCUCAAAAUACCAGGAAUUGA
Molecule: ribosomal RNA, 860 nt
Filed under: bacterium SCS_30Z1_12_2
Lineage: Bacteria
Description: bacterial SSU rRNA
Rfam family: Bacterial small subunit ribosomal RNA
Source: RNAcentral